UGAGGUGUGCAUGGUGACUUUCCCACUGU
Molecule: non-coding RNA, 29 nt
Filed under: Mus musculus (house mouse)
Lineage: Eukaryota; Metazoa; Chordata; Mammalia; Rodentia; Muridae
Source: RNAcentral